GAUGAACGCUAGCGGCAGGCCUAACACAUGCAAGUCGAGGGAGAAGCCCUUUCGGGGGCAGAAACCGGCGCACGGGUGCGUAACGCGUAUGCAACCUACCUUUCACAGGGGGAUAGCCCGAAGAAAUUUGGAUUAAUACCCCAUAAUAUUAUUGGAUGGCAUCAUUUGAUAAUUAAAACUGCGGUGGUGAAAGAUGGGCAUGCGUCCUAUUAGCUAGUUGGAGUGGUAACGGCACCCCAAGGCUACGAUAGGUAGGGGUCCUGAGAGGGAGAGCCCCCACACUGGUACUGAGACAGGGACCAGACUCCUACGGGAGGCAGCAGUGAGGAAUAUUGGUCAAUGGUCGGAAGACUGAACCAGCCAUGCCGCGUGCAGGAAGAAUGCCUUAUGGGUUGUAAACUGCUUUUAUAUGGGAAGAAUAAGGCGUACGUGUACGUUGAUGACGGUACCAUAUGAAUAAGCAUCGGCUAACUCCGUG
Molecule: ribosomal RNA, 478 nt
Filed under: uncultured bacterium
Lineage: Bacteria
Description: partial 16S ribosomal RNA
Rfam family: Bacterial small subunit ribosomal RNA
Source: RNAcentral